GAUGAACGCUGGCGGCGUGCCUAAUACAUGCAAGUCGAGCGAACGGACGAGAAGCUUGCUUCUCUGAUGUUAGCGGCGGACGGGUGAGUAACACGUGGAUAACCUACCUAUAAGACUGGGAUAACUUCGGGAAACCGGAGCUAAUACCGGAUAAUAUUUUGAACCGCAUGGUUCAAAAGUGAAAGACGGUCUUGCUGUCACUUAUAGAUGGAUCCGCGCUGCAUUAGCUAGUUGGUAAGGUAACGGCUUACCAAGGCAACGAUGCAUAGCCGACCUGAGAGGGUGAUCGGCCACACUGGAACUGAGACACGGUCCAGACUCCUACGGGAGGCAGCAGUAGGGAAUCUUGCGCAAUGGGCGAAAGCCUGACGGAGCAACGCCGCGUGAGUGAUGAAGGUCUUCGGAUCGUAAAACUCUGUUAUUAGGGAAGAACAUAUGUGCAAGUAACUGUGCACAUCUUGACGGUACCUAAUCAGAAAGCCACGGCUAACUACGUG
RNAcentral lists this ribosomal RNA (497 nucleotides) under uncultured bacterium. Its description in RNAcentral is "partial 16S ribosomal RNA". It matches the Rfam family "Bacterial small subunit ribosomal RNA", at positions 28 to 507 of the family's 1533-position model. The record is from RNAcentral.